UACGUAGGGUGCAAGCGUUAAUCGGAAUUACUGGGCGUAAAGCGUGCGCAGGCGGUUGGGCAAGACAGAUGUGAAAUCCCCGGGCUCAACCUGGGAAUUGCAUUUGUGACUGCACGACUAGAGUGUGUCAGAGGGGGGUAGAAUUCCACGUGUAGCAGUGAAAUGCGUAGAGAUGUGGAGGAAUACCGAUGGCGAAGGCAGCCCCCUGGGAUAACACUGACGCUCAUGCACGAAAGCGUGGGGAGCAAACAGG
RNAcentral lists this ribosomal RNA (253 nucleotides) under uncultured bacterium. Its description in RNAcentral is "partial 16S ribosomal RNA". It matches the Rfam family "Bacterial small subunit ribosomal RNA", at positions 524 to 776 of the family's 1533-position model. The record is from RNAcentral.